UAUCGCGGUUGACAAGUAUACAUUGAAGAACGUGAGCUGAUAAUUUCCAGUUUGCCAUUAAAUGAAAUGAGUUUUUAAGUCGGCUGUCAGCUGUUACGAUAAAAAAGCACGGAGACUUGGAACAGGUGCCUGCCAUCAGUGAGCCAACUCAAUAAGGUUAUUCCAUGUCAGAUGACAACACCGUUGACCUUGGGUCUUCAGAUUUUAAUACAAAAAUGCUGUGCUUGAAGACAUUAAUAAAUAAUGUACAUGCCAACACAAACCAGCCAGUCAUCUCGUGAGCCAAUCAGCCUACCAACCAGCCAGUCAUCUUGUCAACCAAUUUGCCUACCAAUCAGCCAGUCAUCUUUUGCACCAAUCAGCCUACCAACCAGCAAGUCAUCCUGUCAACCAAUCAGCCUACCAACCAGCCAGUCAUCUUAUCAACCUACCAACCAGCCAUUUUAUCUCAUGGACCAAUCAGCCUACCUACCAGCCAGUCAUCUUUCAAGCCAGUCAUGCUAGAUAACUAGCAAGUAGUCAGGCAUCAGUGUUACUUAUCUAUACCAAUCAUGCAGUGGAUUAGCACAGGUGAAUCCCCACAAAACGACAUAUGUUUUGUGGUACCUUUGACCCUUGGCCAUUGUGAGGCUAUCAUCCUGACCUGUCCAAGAAAACCCCUUGAAGACAAAUACAACCAGCCAUUUCCUGCAAGGUAAACAACUUGAUAAACAGCAACAUCCUUCAUUACCAUGACAACAGCUCUGCAUCCAGAGAUUUCAAGUCCAGCCGUCCGUUUUCAUCAGAAAUGAAUAACGGAGCCAGUCGCUGCACAAUAACGUAGACGCAAGCUUCAUUGGCCAAAGGUCACUUGAUAAGGUAAGAAGCAAUACCU
This is a long non-coding RNA of Acanthaster planci (crown-of-thorns starfish), 874 nucleotides long. NCBI's taxonomy places the organism in Eukaryota, Metazoa, Echinodermata, Asteroidea, Valvatida, Acanthasteridae. The record is from RefSeq and is a predicted model, not a curated record.